Long non-coding RNA from Rhinopithecus roxellana (golden snub-nosed monkey), 1268 nucleotides. RefSeq lists it as uncharacterized. The transcript has 3 exons. Lineage: Eukaryota; Metazoa; Chordata; Mammalia; Primates; Cercopithecidae. The record is from RefSeq and is a predicted model, not a curated record.
CGAGCGCUUCCGAGCGGACUCGUUUUUUUCCGUCAGUCUUGGCGGAAGCCUGAGACGCAGUAGAUGGGGACUCUCCCUUUCGCCUUGGCGUACUCCGUUUUUUUCCUUCCUGGAGCUGGUCUUGCGGGGCAGCCCUAAAAUGUAUAUCCAAGUGGCUUGCUCUCAUCACUUGCUGUCUUGAACUUACUUUCCUCGUUGCAGAAUGGAGAUACCACACUUUCUGAAGUGCUUAUGAGACUUGCAGGAGUUCUGAAAGUUGGAAAUCCAAGAUCCAGGUGCCAGCCGAUCUGGUCGCUGGUGAGGACCCAGAGAUUCACAGAUGACUCAUAGAAGGCACCUACUCACAGUGCCCUCACGUGAUAGAAGGGGUGAGCUAGCUCUCUGGGCUCUCUUUCAGUGGCAUUUCUAGGAUCUGAAAGUUUGUGUUCCCUCAAAUUCAUAUGUUGAAACCUAAUCACCAGUCCAGUAGUAUUAAAAGUUGGGGCUUUGGGAUAUUGAUUAGGUCAUGAGGGCUCUUAACCUCAUAACUGGAAUUAGUGCCUAUCUCAGUCCAUUCCCACUGCUAUAACAGAAUACUUUAGACUGAGUGAUUUAUAAAUAAUAGACAUUAUUUCUCAGAGUUCUGAAGGCUAGGAAGUCCAGCAGAUUCAGUGUCUGAUAAGGGCUUGCUAUCUGCUUCCAAGACAGUGCCUUGUUGCUGGGUCCACAGAAGGGGACAAACACUGUGUCCUCACAUGAGGGAAGAGAUGGGAGGCAAAAGGGCAAAAAAAAAAAAAAAAAAAAAGGAUGGGGGGGACUAGGACACUCCUGUCAACCUCUUUUAUAAGGAUACUAAUCCCAUUCAAGAGGAUGGAGCCUUAUUUCUUAAUCACUUCCAAAAUGGCUUCAGCUCUUAAUGUUAUUAUAGUGAAUUUUAGCCUCUAACAUGGGAAUUCUAGAGAGACACAUACAUUUAAGCCAUAGCAAUGGCCUUAUAAAAGAAGCCCAAGGAAGCUUAUUCACCCCUUCUUUACCAUGUGGAGACAUAGAAAGAAGGUGUCACCAUGAAGCAGAGAGUGAGGUCUCACCAGACACUGAAUCUGCUAGUGCCUUAAUCUUGGACUCCCAGCCUCCAGAACUCUUGAGGGAUAAAUUUCUGCUGUUUGUAAAUGACCCAGUCUGAGGUAGCCUUAUAGUAGCCUGAAUGGACUAAGAUAGGAACUAAUCCAAUUCAUGAGGGCAGAGCCAGCAGCCCCACCUCCUAAUACCAUCAUCUCCCAGCAGCCCCA